CGUAUAUUUAAGUUGUUGCAGUUAAAAAGCUCGUAGUUGGAUUUCGGGUGGGGUGGUGCGGUCCGCCUCUGGUGUGCACUGCUCUGCUCCACCUUCCUGCCGGGGACGGGCUCCUGGGCUUCACUGUCUGGGACUCGGAGUCGGCGAGGUUACUUUGAGUAAAUUAGAGUGUUCAAAGCAGGCCUACGCUCUGAAUACAUUAGCAUGGAAUAACACGAUAGGACUCUGGCCUAUCUGUUGGUCUGUGGGACCGGAGUAAUGAUUAAGAGGGGUAGUCGGGGGCAUUCGUAUUCCGUUGUCAGAGGUGAAAUUCUUGGAUUUACGGAAGACGACCAUCUGCGAAAGCAUUUGCCAAGGAUACUUUCAUUGAUCAAGAACGAAAGUUGGGGGCUCGAAGACGAUUAGAUACCGUCGUAGUCUCAACCAUAAACGAUGCCGACUAGGGAUUGGCAGAUGUUCUUUUGAUGACUCUGCCAGCACCUUAUGAGAAAUCAAAGUUUUUGGGUUCCGGGGGGAGUAUGGUCGCAAGGCUGAAACUUAAAGGAAUUGACGGAAGGGCACCACCAGGCGUGGAGCCUGCGGCUUAAUUUGACUCAACACGGGGAAACUUACCAGGUCCAGACACGGGAAGGAUUGACAGAUUGAGAGCUCUUUCUUGAUUCUGUGGGUGGUGCAUGGCCGUUCUUAGUUGGUGGGUUGCCUUGUCAGGUUGAUUCCGGUAACGAACGAGACCUCAGCCUGCUAAAUAGUCAGCAUCGCACCUGCGGUGCGCCGACUUCUUAGAGGGACUAUU
This 793-nucleotide ribosomal RNA is filed under the name uncultured Chlamydomonadaceae. RNAcentral's name for it is "SSU rRNA". It matches the Rfam family "Eukaryotic small subunit ribosomal RNA", at positions 598 to 1424 of the family's 1831-position model. The record is from RNAcentral. Lineage: Eukaryota; Viridiplantae; Chlorophyta; Chlorophyceae; Chlamydomonadales; Chlamydomonadaceae.